RNAcentral lists this transfer RNA (74 nucleotides) under Marmota monax (woodchuck). RNAcentral describes it as "tRNA.Val". The record is from RNAcentral. Lineage: Eukaryota; Metazoa; Chordata; Mammalia; Rodentia; Sciuridae.
GCUCAUAGCUCAGUUGGUAGAGUGUUUGCCUCACAUCUCACAUGCACAAGGCCUGGGUUCAAUCCUCAGCACCA